This 264-nucleotide non-coding RNA is filed under the name Lachnospiraceae bacterium. RNAcentral's name for it is "T-box sequence". It matches the Rfam family "T-box leader". Rfam says of the family: Uncharged tRNA acts as the effector for transcription antitermination of genes in the T-box leader family. The record is from RNAcentral. Lineage: Bacteria; Bacillati; Bacillota; Clostridia; Lachnospirales; Lachnospiraceae.
GCAAAAAUGUUGAAGAGGAAUAGUAGAGACAACGCUGUACUUUCAGAGACUUGUCGGCAGGUGUGAGACAGGAGACAGAUGUUUUGAACUGACCUCGGAGUUCUUUUGCCGAACGUAAAGUAAGCAGAAGCGGGACUUCCCGUUAUAGAAGGAAUGAGUGCAUCCGGAAUACAGGGGGGACAGCAGAGCAGGUAAGCUGGGGAAGCAUUGUAUUUGGAUGAAAAAGAGUGGUACCACGGAAACAAAAGUCUUUUCGUCUCUUGA